UACAGAGGGUGCGAGCGUUGUUCGGAAUUACUGGGCGUAAAGCGCGCGCAGGCGGCCUUUUAAGUCUCGUGGUGAAAUGCCGGGGCUCAACCCCGUGCCCGCCGGAGAUACUGGGAGGCUGGAGACGAGUAGAGGCAAGCGGAAUUCCGGGUGUAGCGGUGGAAUGCGUAGAUAUCUGGAGGAACACCGGUGGCGAAGGCGGCAUCCUGGACCGAUACUGACGCUGAGGAGCGAAAGCCAGGGGAGCAAACGGG
RNAcentral lists this ribosomal RNA (254 nucleotides) under uncultured bacterium. RNAcentral describes it as "partial 16S ribosomal RNA". It matches the Rfam family "Bacterial small subunit ribosomal RNA", at positions 524 to 776 of the family's 1533-position model. The record is from RNAcentral.